Non-coding RNA from Pelobates cultripes (western spadefoot toad), 216 nucleotides. The record is from the annotation of a GenBank genome assembly. NCBI's taxonomy places the organism in Eukaryota, Metazoa, Chordata, Amphibia, Anura, Pelobatidae.
CGCCAAUGCCACCACUAGUGGAAAAUUUCCGAACGACAGAUUGCGAAAGAGUGAGUUGGACAUCCACUUAUCCGGCCAUGUUCCCGCAUCCCACCGGCCAGCGAAAUACGCCCCAAACUCCAUACUCAGCUCAACCCUAUCCAUGAAUUUUCCAAAGUACGCACAUGAGAUGGAAUACUCCAUCAGCAGACAUACAGCAACAAAAUAUUGUCCCUC